ACCAAAUCUAGAAACUUAGCUUCCAGACGAUCCCAAGCCUCAGCAGUAAAGUAUUUGCGGUUGAAUUCAACGUCAAAGUCCGCAAAACUUGUGAGACUUCCUUUGGUGCGCUUGUCCACUGAAAGCCACCAAUUAUGCGCGUCCCCUUCCAGGAAGUGAACCGCAAUGUCUUGCCUGUAAUCCUCUGGACAGCGAGUUGAUUGAAAGUUUUGGACCAGCCUACUCCUCCACUCAUCUGCCACAACGGGGUCGGUGGAUCGAUCUCGAUC
Molecule: long non-coding RNA, 269 nt
Filed under: Brassica napus (rape)
Lineage: Eukaryota; Viridiplantae; Streptophyta; Magnoliopsida; Brassicales; Brassicaceae
Description: long non-coding RNA (BNAP_LNC019559)
Source: RNAcentral